UACGUAGGGGGCAAGCGUUGUCCGGAAUUAUUGGGCGUAAAGCGCGCGCAGGCGGUCAUUUAAGUCUGGUGUUUAAUCCUGGGGCUCAACCCCGGGUCGCACUGGAAACUGGGUGGCUUGAGUACAGAAGAGGAGAGUGGAAUUCCACGUGUAGCGGUGAAAUGCGUAGAUAUGUGGAGGAACACCAGUGGCGAAGGCGACUCUCUGGGCUGUAACUGACGCUGAGGCGCGACAGCGUGGGGAGCAAACAGG
This 252-nucleotide ribosomal RNA is filed under the name uncultured bacterium. RNAcentral describes it as "partial 16S ribosomal RNA". It matches the Rfam family "Bacterial small subunit ribosomal RNA", at positions 524 to 776 of the family's 1533-position model. The record is from RNAcentral.